This 446-nucleotide ribosomal RNA is filed under the name uncultured bacterium. Its description in RNAcentral is "SSU rRNA". It matches the Rfam family "Bacterial small subunit ribosomal RNA", at positions 26 to 518 of the family's 1533-position model. The record is from RNAcentral.
AGAGCGAACGCUGGCGGCAGGCUUAACACAUGCAAGUCGAGCGGGCGUAGCAAUACGUCAGCGGCAGACGGGUGAGUAACGCGUGGGAACGUACCUUUUGGUUCGGAACAACACAGGGAAACUUGUGCUAAUACCGGAUAAGCCCUUACGGGGAAAGAUUUAUCGCCGAAAGAUCGGCCCGCGUCUGAUUAGCUAGUUGGUGAGGUAACGGCUCACCAAGGCGACGAUCAGUAGCUGGUCUGAGAGGAUGAUCAGCCACAUUGGGACUGAGACACGGCCCAAACUCCUACGGGAGGCAGCAGUGGGGAAUAUUGGACAAUGGGCGAAAGCCUGAUCCAGCCAUGCCGCGUGAGUGAUGAAGGCCCUAGGGUUGUAAAGCUCUUUGUGCGGGAAGAUAAUGACGGUACCGCAAGAAUAAGCCCGGCUAACUUCGCGCCAGCAGCCGC